UCAUAGCGACUAUCGUGGCAUAUCAAUAAGCGGAGGAAAAGAAACUAACAAGGAUUCCCCUAGUAACGGCGAGUGAAGCGGGAAGAGCUCAAAUUUGAAAUCUUAAAGGGUUUUCCCUUUACGAAUUGUAGUUUAAAGAAGUGUUUUCUGUUGGAGUUUCGGUAAAAGUUCUUUGGAAUAGGACAUCAUAGAGGGUGAGAAUCCCGUAUUUGACCGUUACUUUCCAGCUGUGUGAUACACUUUCAAAGAGUCAGGAUUGUUUGGGAAUGCAGUCCAAAAUGGGUGGUAAAUUUCAUCUAAAGCUAAAUAUUGGCGAGAGACCGAUAGCGAACAAGUACCGUGAGGGAAAGAUGAAAAGAACUUUGAAAAGAGAGUUAAACAGUACGUGAAAUUGUCAAAAGGGAAGCGUUUGACACCAGUGUUGUUUAGUUGAAAAUCAAUUCAAUAAUUUUUGAUUUUAAGUAGUAUUGACUUCAUCAGCUUGCUGCUUUCUUUUCAGGAAUUAUUGAAUGCACUUUUCAGUUAACAAGUCAACAUCAAUUUCUUUUGUUGUAAAAGGGUAAGAGGAAGGUGGCUUACGCUUCGGCGUAAGUGUUUAUAGCCUUUUACCUCUGCAAUCGGAGAGAUUGAGGACAGCAGCGUAGACUCUUCGGGGUUAGAUACACUUGUGCUAAGCUAUAGCCUUGUAUAGACAACUUGUUGACUAUGCUCAGUCAUGUAGCUUACUCGCUUGUGCUAUUUUACCUACGCUUAGGAUGUUGACGCGCGUGUGUGCGUG
This 778-nucleotide ribosomal RNA is filed under the name uncultured Neocallimastigales. RNAcentral's name for it is "partial large subunit ribosomal RNA". It matches the Rfam family "Eukaryotic large subunit ribosomal RNA", at positions 22 to 615 of the family's 3401-position model. The record is from RNAcentral. Lineage: Eukaryota; Fungi; Neocallimastigomycota; Neocallimastigomycetes; Neocallimastigales.